GAACCAAAUGCUUGCAUUUGGUGGAUGAGUGGCGAACGGGUGAGUAACACGUGGGUGAUCUGCCCUACACUUUGGGAUAAGCCUGGGAAACUGGGUCUAAUACCGAAUAUUCACAUCAUCGUAGGGGUGGUGUGGAAAGCUUUAUGCGGUGUGGGAUGAGCCUGCGGCCUAUCAGCUUGUUGGUGGGGUAAUGGCCUACCAAGGCGUCGACGGGUAGCCGGCCUGAGAGGGUGUACGGCCACAUUGGGACUGAGACACGGCCCAGACUCCUACGGGAGGCAGCAGUGGGGAAUAUUGCACAAUGGGCGCAAGCCUGAUGCAGCGACGCCGCGUGGGGGAUGACGGCCUUCGGGUUGUAAACUCCUUUCGCUAGGGACGAAGCCUUUUAGGUGACGGUACCUGGAGAAGAAGCACCGGCUAACUACGUGCCAGCAGCCGCGGUAAUACGUAGGGUGCGAGCGUUGUCCGGAAUUACUGGGCGUAAAGAGCUCGUAGGUGGUUUGUCGCGUCCUCUGUGAAAUCCCGGGGCUUAACUUCGGGCGUGCAGGCGAUACGGGCAUAACUUGAGUGCUGUAGGGGAGACUGGAAUUCCUGGUGUAGCGGUGAAAUGCGCAGAUAUCAGGAGGAACACCAAUGGCGAAGGCAGGUCUCUGGGCAGUAACUGACGCUGAGGAGCGAAAGCAUGUGUAGCGAACAAGAUUAUAUACCCUGGUAGUCCAUGCCGUAAACGGUGGGCGCUAGGUGUAGGGGUCUUCCACGACUUCUGUGCCGCAGCUAACGCA
RNAcentral lists this ribosomal RNA (782 nucleotides) under Corynebacterium glutamicum. RNAcentral's name for it is "bacterial SSU rRNA". It matches the Rfam family "Bacterial small subunit ribosomal RNA", at positions 69 to 859 of the family's 1533-position model. The record is from RNAcentral. Lineage: Bacteria; Bacillati; Actinomycetota; Actinomycetes; Mycobacteriales; Corynebacteriaceae.